RNAcentral lists this ribosomal RNA (911 nucleotides) under Neisseria meningitidis NM2781. RNAcentral's name for it is "bacterial SSU rRNA". It matches the Rfam family "Bacterial small subunit ribosomal RNA", at positions 8 to 908 of the family's 1533-position model. Lineage: Bacteria; Pseudomonadati; Pseudomonadota; Betaproteobacteria; Neisseriales; Neisseriaceae. The record is from RNAcentral.
AGAGUUUGAUCCUGGCUCAGAUUGAACGCUGGCGGCAUGCUUUACACAUGCAAGUCGGACGGCAGCACAGAGAAGCUUGCUUCUCGGGUGGCGAGUGGCGAACGGGUGAGUAACAUAUCGGAACGUACCGAGUAGUGGGGGAUAACUGAUCGAAAGAUCAGCUAAUACCGCAUACGUCUUGAGAGAGAAAGCAGGGGACCUUUGGGCCUUGCGCUAUUCGAGCGGCCGAUAUCUGAUUAGCUAGUUGGUGGGGUAAAGGCCUACCAAGGCGACGAUCAGUAGCGGGUCUGAGAGGAUGAUCCGCCACACUGGGACUGAGACACGGCCCAGACUCCUACGGGAGGCAGCAGUGGGGAAUUUUGGACAAUGGGCGCAAGCCUGAUCCAGCCAUGCCGCGUGUCUGAAGAAGGCCUUCGGGUUGUAAAGGACUUUUGUCAGGGAAGAAAAGGCUGUUGCUAAUACCAGCGGCCGAUGACGGUACCUGAAGAAUAAGCACCGGCUAACUACGUGCCAGCAGCCGCGGUAAUACGUAGGGUGCGAGCGUUAAUCGGAAUUACUGGGCGUAAAGCGGGCGCAGACGGUUACUUAAGCAGGAUGUGAAAUCCCCGGGCUCAACCCGGGAACUGCGUUCUGAACUGGGUGACUCGAGUGUGUCAGAGGGAGGUAGAAUUCCACGUGUAGCAGUGAAAUGCGUAGAGAUGUGGAGGAAUACCGAUGGCGAAGGCAGCCUCCUGGGAUAACACUGACGUUCAUGCCCGAAAGCGUGGGUAGCAAACAGGAUUAGAUACCCUGGUAGUCCACGCCCUAAACGAUGUCAAUUAGCUGUUGGGCAACUUGAUUGCUUAGUAGCGUAGCUAACGCGUGAAAUUGACCGCCUGGGGAGUACGGUCGCAAGAUUAAAACUCAAAGGA